AUGGACCUCCAGGACGACGAGCUAGACGAUGUGGUUGUUGGGGCAGAGGAGGUGAAGAAGUUUGAAGCAGAUGCAAGAUGGCUGACGAUUGGGAAGGUCAAUACUACACGCAUCUUCAGCUCUUCGACGAUGUUCAAGACUCUGAAGUCGGUCUGGGGAUUAGCUCAUGUACCAAAGUACAGGGAAGCGGGGGAGAACCUCUUUAUUUUUCAGAUGUUUUGCUUAGGGGAUUGGAAGAAGGUGGUGCAUGGAGGCCCAUGGCUGUUCAGGGGUAUGGGCAUGCUGAUUGAAGACUAUGAUGGCAAGAAGGAUCCAACAACUUUCGAGUUUGAUGGCUUAUAUGUUUGGGCUUAGAUCCACAAUAUCCCAGAAUUGUAUCGGAAAGCAGAAGUGGUGGAUCAGCUAGCUCGCCGCAUUGGUCGAGUAAAGGAAAUCCAAAUUGCGCCUCGCCUCUUUUAUGAGGGGGAU
RNAcentral lists this ribosomal RNA (468 nucleotides) under Triticum aestivum (bread wheat). RNAcentral's name for it is "partial small subunit ribosomal RNA". The record is from RNAcentral. Lineage: Eukaryota; Viridiplantae; Streptophyta; Magnoliopsida; Poales; Poaceae.